UCUAGGGAAAUACACUGCCAGAGAAUUUCGAACAUAAAGCGAAUCGGACUAAAGGUAAAGUUUCAACGAACGACGCGACGUGGCCAAGAUAAGAGCGGAAACACUCGUUACCAGAUCGCUAUGUAAAGCGAGCUACUUCGUACAAACUAUUAGAUGCUUAAUAGUCGUUAACGCUCAGCACCGCGGAUAGCAUUGUAGCAAGGAGCUUUAUUCCCGUCUACUCGUCAUCGUCGAACCUCGCGAUUCACCUCUGCUCGUAAGUGGAAUUUCGUUCAAGUGGAAUUGCCAUAAAUUGAUUAGAUCGAUUACGAUUACGAGCGAUUACGCCAUACGACAUUCUGUAUAUUUUGUUUGACUACGUGUGUAAGUUUCGGAAUAGAUCGCGUAUAAAGUAAGGGGGACGCAGGAUCAGAAAGUUUAAGAAAACUCGUCCCCAGGGAUAGAAUAUCGAAUAUCAGAAUGUAAUUUGAUUAGGAGGAAAUUUAGAGCUUCUUGUAAGAAAAAUUGAGAAACAGCUAUAGGAAAUGGGGGAAAUCGUCGCAGAUUUAUUCGGAAGAUCUUGUUUCACGUCGUGUUUGUUGAUCGAAUAGUUAUAGUCACUUCGAGAUUAUCGAGUGUUUGAAAUGUAAAUAAAAAUGGACUGAAAAGUACACUCGGAAAGAAACGAGUUUUCUUACGAGAAAUGUUGUUUUUAAUACAUGGAUUUUAAAUUAUUAAAAAAUUAUUAUACAAUAGGUCGAAAUAUUCGUAAUCCGCUUCGAUCCAUUACAGGAACCAAAACAAUAGACGAAAUGAUCUGUUCUUGUCGUUAAUAACCAUACGGUUGACGUGCAAUUCUAAAAUGACGUUGACAAUAUAUCGAAUUUCAAAGCUGCUCUUGUACGAAAAAUAAAAAAUACGAUUCAUAUUUUUCAACCACGAUCUCCAUAUGAUAUAUGUAUAUGCAUAAAUCUUCAGUUAAUUUCACCUAUGAAUUUUAUCUAUUAAUUCACAGCAAACUUUUGGUCCAACUGUACUCACACGUUGUAGAAAAUUAUAAUGGAUAAUCUAUGCAGAUGACUAUCCAAAUAGAAGAAAGCAGUGAUUUCGACACAUACUGCGUGUUUCAUCUUUAUCCAGGCUUUCUAUCCUCCGACGUUCUCGAUUUUCGUACGGGAUCCGUCAAAUCCGUCACAAAUAAAAAUGUAUCCUGUUUAUUUCUUCGAACGAAGAUGGUUAUUUCCAUAUUUCUAAGGUUCGCCGUAUUAUCGAACCCGUGCACGAUCCAUUUGUCUACUUCUUUCAUUUUUCCUAUUUGAACCAAGUGAUGGAUAAUAGCAGGAUGGACGACUUCCAUUUGAAACGUCGUUUCUCUUGCCAUUUUUCGCGCCUCUUUUUUCCUAACAUUUCUUAAAACGUUAUCAUCGAUGACAACAGCUUGCUAUCUUUUUCUCCAUUAAUUUUCCCUAAUGAAAACAAAAAAUCCACGGUCUUGAAUUUUUCAAAUCUCUUCUAACUGACAUUCUGCAAAUCCUAAUGACUCUCGUUGAAAAACAUCGAAUCGAAGACGUUGCAUAACAAUGGAAAAGUUUCAAAGAUCGCCGUUAGUAACAUGGAUAAGGAUACCGGGAAUAAACGUCAGACGUGUUCCUCUGUAAAUACAAAAAUAAAUUGAGAUUGCUCAAUACAACAGAGCCCUACGUAUCUUUAUGGAAAUUCUCGGGCACGAGCCUUGCGUCUAAUAUUGUAGAAAUACCGCGUAUGAAAUUCUGUUGUUUCCAAUGAGCAAAACCGUUCUUCAAUUUAUUUCCCUCCAGGCUACUGUUUUACUUUGACACUUGAACGAAUUCCCAUCGUCUUAUUACCAAGGACAAUGUAUAUCUCAGUUGUCGAAGCAAAUUACAGUCCGUUUAAGCAACGAAUACUUAAGUUGGGCGGUACGAGGAUUGCUUCGAAAUUCCUUAUUUCUCUGUAAAGUAACUCUGUGAAGUAACGAUAAACGUUUGGCUGGAAGACGAUGUAAUUUACUUGCAAAAAUAGAUUCAACAAUGGAAAUUAGACAACGAUUCUACGAAAUUGGAAUACCUCCUCGAAGCGAAUAGAACGUUCCAUGAGACGGUGGUGACGUUCGUAUGCGAAGCAAGUUGAUAUCAAACGAUCUUAACUAUCCCUGGAAGCACCUGCGUUAGAAGAAGAAAUGAACGUCGAAGAAUAAAUUGCAGUAUGAAAAUUGGUAUCUUAAUUCGAACGAUCCAAAAUUAUAUUUUCGCCGCGUUAUUUCAUUCUGUCGUAUCGGCCAUGAUAUCCUCCUUGUUUUAUUGGCUCUGUAAAAAUCUAGCGAAUAGAAUAUUUCUCAAGAUAUUCGCAGAAAAUCGAAGAAAAAGAUCGACUCGUUAAGAGGAAAUACCUUUUCUAUCGCGAUUGACUGUUGUUCUAAAACAACAAGAUACGACGGAGAUAUAACGAUGUAUGCUAUAGACAAGAGGAAAAACUGAAUGAUUUCAUCGAAUGCUUUAUCUCUUUAUUGGGCGUGUGACUAAGGAAAACUCGAAAUUAAAUAUUUAGAAACUUACGAAAAAUUGGACAACAGAAGAUCGAAGUUUAAAGAGAUUUGACAUAGAUGAAACAAGAUUACGAGCUUUUCCCAACUACACGUUUUGAUAAACGUGACGACGCAACGAGAUACAGCCGCUGUCUUUAAUGAUCGUAUCAAGCAUCAAAUUGCUCUGAAUUAGCUCGAUCAUUUUACGACUGUCCAUCUGGUAUCCAUCUUGAGAUUUAUUUUGUCACUUUGAUCGCAGUUUCGCUGGCAUCUGUCCGAUACUAUGUCUGUAUUAUAAGCGGAAGUUUACGAAAACAUGCGAGUUCCGGAACAUGAAAGCGAAACGAAUGUUACCCGAACGAUCUGAUCGAACCUCCUGACGUUAAUAGAGAUAUUAACCAUAAUUAGGUUCGUGCUUCGUUACACUACAGGAAGUUGCUGUAACUACUUUGGUAAAAGAGACACUGGACACGCUUUCGUUGAAAGUUUGGUUUUCAUCGGCCGAUAGUAUCCAUUAGUGGGUACAAAAGGAUGCGCUACAAGUAAUGGAAGUAACGUAAAUUGGCUGUGUAGUAAUUAUUCGUCCGUAAGAAGAGGAAGUAUUGGAAACUGCGUGAAUGAUAGGAUAAGAAAUUUUAGUUAACUUGUAUUCUUAAUUAGAUAGCCAUUUAAUGAAAAUAUUAAAUGAAAUUGCUGGAUUAAUAGUUUAGAUGGAUAUUUUAGAUGCUAUAUGAAAAGAAUUUUUAAAUAUCUUGGCAAAGUAAUCCUUCGCUAAAAAUGUUCACUAAAAUGGAUAAAUUAAUCUUCGAAGUGCUAUUUUACCUAUGAAAUUUUAGUGUAAUAAAGUAAGUAUUACGAAAUUGAUUACAGGAUUUUUAAUAUAUCGUGGUAAAAUUUUCAUAUAGAUAGUAUCUACGUAUAUAUGUGGAAAUAUGAUAAAUAUUUU
Bombus terrestris (buff-tailed bumblebee) is the source of this 3467-nucleotide long non-coding RNA. RefSeq lists it as uncharacterized. Lineage: Eukaryota; Metazoa; Arthropoda; Insecta; Hymenoptera; Apidae. The transcript is spliced from 3 exons. The record is from RefSeq and is a predicted model, not a curated record.